CUGCAGCUCUAGUGGUGAUCAUUAUUAUUGGGCCUAAAACGUCCGUAGCCGGUUUAGUAAAUGCCUGGGUAAAUCGUGUAGCUUAACUAUACGACUUCCGGGUAGACUGCUAAACUUGAGACCGGGAGAGGCUAGAGGUACUCCUGGGGUAAAGGUGAAAUUUUGUAAUCCUAGGGGGACCACCAGUGGCGAAGGCGUCUAGCCAGAACGGGUCUGACGGUGAGGGACGAAGCCCUGGGGCGCAAACCGGAUUAGAUACCCGAGUAGUCC
Molecule: ribosomal RNA, 270 nt
Filed under: uncultured archaeon
Lineage: Archaea
Description: partial 16S ribosomal RNA
Rfam family: Archaeal small subunit ribosomal RNA
Source: RNAcentral